Molecule: non-coding RNA, 58 nt
Organism: Ixodes scapularis (black-legged tick)
Lineage: Eukaryota; Metazoa; Arthropoda; Arachnida; Ixodida; Ixodidae
Source: Rfam
UAGCUCAGUUGGUAGAGCGAUCCACUGGAAAUGGAGAGGUCCCUGGUUCGACACCAGG